UAGUCCUGCCCCCUCAUACAGCACUAUUUUCUUAUAUUUCUGAUAUUUUAUAUAUAUAUUUUUUAUACAGCAACUAUAUUCUUUUCUAUCUUUCAGCCUGGACCACAAUAUCAGGCAAUGAUCCAAGUAGUGGGGCAGGAGCCCCUUUCCUGAGGAUUCAUAGCGUGGACUGCCUCCUGCAGGAAAAGGAUGAAAAGCUGCUGAGACUGGAAAAGGAAAUCAGUCGUCUCUCUGGUUUUGAAGCAGAAUCAAAGCAGAAAGAUACAGUGAUAAGGAGUCUUCAGGACAAAAUUGCAGAGAUGGCCAAGACCAUGGCCCAGGCUGCUGCUAGAAGCGAUGUGGAGCUGACCCAAAAGCUUCUAACGUUUGACAGAGAAAUCAGAGCCAAAACAGAAGAGAUUAAAACCUUAAAGGAACAGGUACGCAGUGCCUAAGCAGGCAUACUCGGUCGAAAAUAGUGUUCUGACACAUAUGGGUCUUGAACUGAGCACCUCGUUCGGAGGGAGAGGAGGAGGUAGCAUGUGUGGAAUGAAGGGGAACCAGAGAUGGUUUUAAUCAUUUGCCAUGUUUUGCCCACAUGAUUGCUUGUUCUGUAAUUGUCCCAUAACAAAGCUGG
This 616-nucleotide long non-coding RNA is filed under the name Anas zonorhyncha (Eastern spot-billed duck). RNAcentral's name for it is "lncRNA (ENSAZOG00000009035.1)". The record is from RNAcentral. Lineage: Eukaryota; Metazoa; Chordata; Aves; Anseriformes; Anatidae.